GAGAGGGGUUGAAGACGGAGUUUAAUCACCCACUGCCAAUGAUUUAAUCAAUUGUGCAUAUGUAAUGGAGCCUCCAUAAAAGCCCAAGGGACUGAGUUCAGAGGGCUCCCGGGUUGGUGAACACACAGAGAUUGGAGGAGAUUGGUGCCCUCGGAGAGAGCAUGGAACCUCCAAGUGCUUUCCCCACACCUUUAUGUAUUUCUUCACUCUGGCUGUCCCUGAGUUAUAUCUUUUUGUAAAAAGGUGGUAGUCGCUGGCUGUUCUGGAAGAGAAAGUGGCAGAAAUCCAACUUUGAUCACAUAGAGGAAUGCGUGUAAAGGAUGAAGCUAAAGUGACUUGAGAGAUACUUUGGAAGGAGCUGCCCUGCUCACUCUGGUCUGCUACCUAGAGACUGUCAGCACGGACAGAAAUUUCUCUCUACUUUAAGGCACUGUGUGUUAUAGUCUUUUUUCUGGCUGUUGCUUACCUUGAUCAUGAUGUACACAGGGAUGAGAUUCUCUGGAUAAGAUUCCCUGGAGAAACAGACUUGAGUUUGACCUCAAAAUAUUCAUUAAAGAUUAAUCACAUGUAAAGAAAAAA
Molecule: long non-coding RNA, 579 nt
Organism: Suricata suricatta (meerkat)
Lineage: Eukaryota; Metazoa; Chordata; Mammalia; Carnivora; Herpestidae
Exons: 2
Source: RefSeq, a predicted model, not a curated record